Callithrix jacchus (white-tufted-ear marmoset) is the source of this 2093-nucleotide non-coding RNA. The record is from RefSeq and is a predicted model, not a curated record. NCBI's taxonomy places the organism in Eukaryota, Metazoa, Chordata, Mammalia, Primates, Cebidae.
GGUGCUGCUGUCUGUGGGAGGAAGGGACCAGCUGCCCCUGGGACAGCAGCAACUGUGUGGUCUCCCCAGGCUGGUGGCUGGGGGCUGCCUUCCCCCCAUCAGGGAUGGCACCCAUUCAGAGUACUUUUACUUUUGGGACUCAGCCAGAUGUCUGUUUUGAAUGAGAGGAUGCAUGCUCUUCCUUCCUGCUCAGGACGCCCCUGUUUCAGGCUCUCAGCAGUGGUCCUGCUUUGAACUGGCUGUGUGACCUGAGGCUGGUCACUUGACCUAUCUGGUUAUCUGGGUCCUCAUCCAUAGAACGGAGACACUCAUGCUCACCACUGAGAGGUGCUGAGAGGAUUGGGCAGGUCUGCAAGUGUGACCCUUUAGCACGCGGGGCCUCUUCUGUGAUCCUGAAGUUACGCUUGCCACUGGUGGCAUAGGUGGCAUCUGCAUCUGUGGGUGGAAAGCUUCUCCAAGCAGGGGACUCUCCCUUCCUCUUCACAAACUCCAGCACGCAGGAAGCACGCAGCCGGUGUCUAUUCCUGGGUGGAUAAACACAUCCAUGAACGAGGAGCUGGCACCUCUCUCCCGAAGACCUGUUUAUUUCAUGUCAAAUACCCUGAACUUCUAUGAAAGAAGUUCACCUACCCUGAUGAAGGGAUCAGGGAUCAUAUGGAGAGACCCCUGGAGGGGAAAGGCCCUGAGACCAAAUGGAGAGAAAGACCAAUCAUCCCAGCACCCCAACUGAGCCCAGGCCCUAGGAGACUGUUCAACUGAAUGCACCAAUACAAGUGAACUCUGGUAAGAUCAGCAGAAGAACCACUCAGCUAAGCCCAGCCACAGUGGAAGAAUCACAGGAAAUACUACAGAACUGUCAUUUUAAGUCACUGAGUUUUGUUGUAGUUUAUUAUGCAACAAUAAUGACCAAAACAACCCAGUCCUCAGGACAACUAUUGUAGUUUUACCUCUAAUGUGGACAUUUGAGUAUAUGACCAUCUGUGUAAGUCUGAGUUUUCCAGAGAAAGAGAAACAAUAGGAUGUGUGUGUGUAUCAAAGAUACUUAUUUUAGAGAAUGGCUUCAGAUGAUUAUGGAAGCUUGGUGAGUCCGACAUCUGAUGGGAGAGGCCAGAAGACUGGGGGUUCAGAAAAAAAUUCCAGUUUGAAUCCAAGUGUAGUCUGGUGAAAAACCAGGAAGGGCCAGUGUUGCAGAUGAAGUCUGAAGGCAGGCAGUCUGAUGGGGAAUUCCCUCUUGCUUGGGGAAGUUCAGCAUUUGUUUUUGUUUUUUUUUGUUUUUUGAGGCAGGGUAUCCUCUGUUGCCCCAGUUGGAGUGCAGUGGUGCAAUCAAACUCCUGGGCUCAAGUUAUCCUCCUGCCUCUGCCUCCCAAGUAGCUGGAACUACAGGCUUGUGCUACUUGGCUAAUUUUUCUUUCUUUCUUUUUUUUUUUUUUUGUAGAGAUGGGGGUCUUGUUUUGUUGCCCAGGCUGGUCUCAAACUCUGGAGGUCAGCCUUUUGUUCUAGACUUCAGUUGACUGGAGGAGGCCCACCCACACUAUGGACAAUGAACUUUACUAAAAAUUCAUAGAUUUAAAUGCAAAUCUCAUCCAAAAACACCAUCAGAGAAGCAUCCAGCACAAUGUUUGACUACAUAUCUGGGCACUGUUGCCCAGCCAAGUUGACAUAAAAUUAACCAUCAUAUCAUCCAUUGGCAGAAAAUGGGUUUUCUUUGAUUUCACCCAGAGGUCAGUAUGUGAUUUUUGAAGAGAGAACCAGACUAGAGAAUAAAGACUUGCAUUUUAAUCCAACUACUGCCACUAACAUCCUCAUCAGCCAACCUAACUCCUCUGAGCCUCAGUUUUUCCCACUGGGUUAAUUUUAAUUUUGUUUAGUUUUAUGUUGUCCUUUCACCUUAUUACCUCUUACAGGCAACUUUAGCAAGAUGUUUAUUAUGGGUAAAAUUCACGGAAACCAAAAGCAUGUUCUUAAACACCCAGAGGCUCUGGGACUUCUUUGUUCUGUGCCACGGAUCAGAGGAAAGUAAUUUUGAAAGGAUCACAGGUUAUUGGAUCAUGUAAUUUUAAAACAUUUCAACAGUAAAUACUUAAUGAAAUUUA